GGAUGUGAGGGCGAUCUGGCUUGCGACAUCUGUCACCCCAUUGAACAUCAAGGUUGAUUCGGCUGAUCUGGCUGGCUAGGUGGGUGUCCCCCUCCUCCCUCACCAAUCAAUGUGCUGAGUCCCUCCCGAAGCUGCUUGCUUGGUGGAAGAGGAUGACCUUCCCCCCAGAGGAGAGGACCAGUCUUAGGUCAAGAGUAGCUGUGCUCCCCUGAUAGAACCUCCAAACAGGCUCUCAAAGAGUCAGAAGAAUUGACUCUACCUGAUCUACUUCUACUGUAUGAUGUUCAACAAGUCAUCUAAUCCCUCUAA
Myotis brandtii (Brandt's bat) is the source of this 309-nucleotide non-coding RNA. The record is from Rfam. NCBI's taxonomy places the organism in Eukaryota, Metazoa, Chordata, Mammalia, Chiroptera, Vespertilionidae.